RNAcentral lists this ribosomal RNA (491 nucleotides) under uncultured Turicibacter sp. Its description in RNAcentral is "bacterial SSU rRNA". It matches the Rfam family "Bacterial small subunit ribosomal RNA", at positions 8 to 507 of the family's 1533-position model. Lineage: Bacteria; Bacillati; Bacillota; Erysipelotrichia; Erysipelotrichales; Turicibacteraceae. The record is from RNAcentral.
AGAGUUUGUAGUCCUGGCUCAGGAGUGAACGGCUGGCGGCGUGCCUAAUACAUGCAAGUCGGGCGAACCACUUCGUGGGAAGCGGCGAACGGGUGAGUAACACGUAGGUAAUCUGCCCAUCAGACGGGGACGAACGAUUGGAAACGAUCGCUAAUACCGGAUAGGACGAAAGUUUAAAGAUGCUCCUGGCAUCACUGAUGGAUGAGCCUGCGGCGCAUUAGCUAGUUGGUGGGGUAAAGGCCUACCGAGGCGACGAUGCGUAGCCGACCUGAGAGGGUGAACGGCCACACUGGGACUGAGACACGGCCCAGACUCCUACGGGAGGCAGCAGUAGGGAAUCUUCGGCAAUGGGCGAAAGCCUGACCGAGCAACGCCGCGUGAAUGAAGAAGGCCUUCGGGUUGUAAAAUUCUGUUCUAAGGGAAGAAAGGUGAUAGGAGGAAAUGACUAUCAAUUGACGGUACCUUAUGAGAAAGCCACGGCUAACUACGUG